UGGGGAAUUUUGGACAAUGGGCGAAAGCCUGAUCCAGCAAUGCCGCGUGUGUGAAGAAGGCCUUCGGGUUGUAAAGCACUUUUGUCCGGAAAGAAAUCCUCUGGGGUUAAUACCUCGGGGGGAUGACGGUACCGGAAGAAUAAGCACCGGCUAACUACGUGCCAGCAGCCGCGGUAAUACGUAGGGUGCAAGCGUUAAUCGGAAUUACUGGGCGUAAAGCGUGCGCAGGCGGUUUUGUAAGACGGAUGUGAAAUCCCCGGGCUUAACCUGGGAACUGCAUUCGUGACUGCAAGGCUAGAGUAUGGCAGAUGGGGGUAGAAUUUCCACGUGUAGCAGUGAAAUGCGUAGAGAUGUGGAGGAAUACCGAUGGCGAAGGCAGCCCCC
This 384-nucleotide ribosomal RNA is filed under the name uncultured bacterium. Its description in RNAcentral is "partial 16S ribosomal RNA". It matches the Rfam family "Bacterial small subunit ribosomal RNA", at positions 355 to 729 of the family's 1533-position model. The record is from RNAcentral.